This 434-nucleotide ribosomal RNA is filed under the name uncultured bacterium. RNAcentral's name for it is "partial 16S ribosomal RNA". It matches the Rfam family "Bacterial small subunit ribosomal RNA", at positions 29 to 507 of the family's 1533-position model. The record is from RNAcentral.
AGCGAACGCUGGCGGCAGGCCUAACACAUGCAAGUCGAACGAACCUUUCGGGGUUAGUGGCGGACGGGUGAGUAACACGUGGGAACGUGCCUUUAGGUUCGGAAUAACUCAGGGAAACUUGUGCUAAUACCGAAUGUGCCCUUCGGGGGAAAGAUUAAUCGCCUUUAGAGCGGCCCGCGUCUGAUUAGCUAGUUGGUUGAGGUAAUGGCUCACCAAGGCGACGAUCAGUAGCUGGUCUGAGAGGAUGAUCAGCCACAUUGGGACUGAGACACGGCCUAAACUCCUACGGGAGGCAGCAGUGGGGAAUCUUGCGCAAUGGGCGAAAGCCUGACGCAGCCAUGCCGCGUGAAUGAUGAAGGUCUUAGGAUUGUAAAAUUCUUUCACCGGGGACGAUAAUGACGGUACCCGGAGAAGAAGCCCCGGCUAACUUCGUG